Molecule: non-coding RNA, 972 nt
Organism: Cryptosporidium sp. 43IA8
Lineage: Eukaryota; Apicomplexa; Conoidasida; Eucoccidiorida; Cryptosporidiidae
Source: the annotation of a GenBank genome assembly
UUUUAUUACAUAUUUAUUAGUAAACUAAACAAUAAAACUGUAACUAGAAACGCAUUUUCCGAUCAAGAAUUCAUAUGAUUGAUUACCUGCAAAUUUAUCCGUAGUUCCGUUUCUUGUAUAUUAAGUAUUUUCUUUGUUGUUUCCUGUGGUUAUUUGUUUUACCCCUCACUCCCGCCCUAUAUUUCAUUAGUGCAUGUUUGAAUAUUCUGACUUGGCCUUUGGCGCCAAAUAUUGUUUUUGUUUAAAAUAGCAUUCCAAAUUAAAAUCUUACAGAUAUAAUUUAAGAACAUAAUUUAUGCGCUAUAUGCUAUGAGAUCAUCAUAACUAUUUAAGUACAUAAAUCAAAGGUUAAAUAAAGGUACUUUAAAUUUUUUUUUUUUUUUUUCUCCCACAAACACAACCCAAACAAUUAAUCACAAAAUAACUUGUAUAAAUGUUUAGAGUUUAAAAUGUACUGAUACAAUUUACUUUGAUUUCAAAGUAUUUUUGUUCUUCAAUACGCAAUUAUAAGAAAGAAGAAAAAAUCUUCUAACUCAACUCUAAUUUUUUUCCUGCGAACUUAGCAUAUAUAUUUCAAAGAUAUGCAUUAUCGCUAAAUUUUAUGCAAAAAUCUCUUUAAGAAUUCACUUGAUAUUCUCUCGGAGUGAAUGCUUACACUUAAUAGUUAUGAUAACUAUUCAGAAACAAAACAAAAAAAAAUCAACAAAAUACAACAAAACAAUGCGAAAACAACAAAUAAAAAACGUAAUAAUCACCAUAUAAACUUGCACUCUUCCACAAAAAUAUUUCUCGUGUGCUUUGUUUACAUAAAUAUAUAGCUUUGCGCAUUUUCAUAUAGUGCACAAUCUGUAGAUUUCUGUUCUGGUAAAGCAUACAUGGCGCCACAUUGUAGCGCAUUUUUGCCAAUUCUGAAAUUCCACUUAAUUAACUCUCAAAGAACUUCAAAAGAUUUAUUGAUAACUUCAUGGACAU